Molecule: ribosomal RNA, 458 nt
Filed under: uncultured bacterium
Lineage: Bacteria
Description: partial 16S ribosomal RNA
Rfam family: Bacterial small subunit ribosomal RNA
Source: RNAcentral
CCUACGGGAGGCAGCAGUGAGGAAUAUUGGUCAAUGGGCGAGAGCCUGAACCAGCCAAGUCGCGUGAGGGAGUACUGCCCUAUGGGUUGUAAACCUCUUUUGUCGGGGAGCAAAAGCCGGACGUGUCCGGCUGUGAGAGUACCCGAAGAAAAAGCAUCGGCUAACUCCGUGCCAGCAGCCGCGGUAAUACGGAGGAUGCGAGCGUUAUCCGGAUGUAUUGGGUUUAAAGGGUGCGCAGGCGGAUUUUUAAGUCAGCGGUAAAAUCGUGGGGCUCAACCCCAUCCAGCCGUUGAAACUGGGGAUCUAGAGUGUGCGAGAGGUAUGCGGAAUGCGUGGUGUAGCGGUGAAAUGCAUAGAUAUCACGCAGAACCCCGAUUGCGAAGGCAGCAUACCGGUGCACAACUGACGCUCAGGCACGAAAGCGUGGGUAUCGAACAGGAUUAGAUACCCUGGUAGUC